CACAAACACAUACACGAAGAAAACGGCGGUGGCGUUUGUUGUUGUUUGUUGUUGUUUGUUGUUGUCAGCUGACAGACAGCCACAUGGAGGGCCACAGAGAGGUGCUGGACAGACAAAAUCUCCUGAAUGAAGCGAAUAAUGAGUUUAACAGCCAUCAUUGGAAACGCGCAGAGGAUUUGUACACGGAGUUCAUCGACAUCUGCAUGGCGUCUGGAGAACGCGAUAGUAAUGACCUCGCCAUAGCCUUCAAUAACCGCGGCCAGGUGAAGUACUUCCGGGUUGAUUUUUAUGAAGCCGUGGAUGAUUACAGCGCAGCUAUUAAAGCCAACAGGCAGUUUGAAGUGGCUUACUACAACCGAGGAUUAAUACGGUACAGACUGGACACUUGGCCAUGUGGGGAAUUUAUGUACCAUGCUGGCAUCGAAGACCUUGCCAGUUUUGCCAACUCUUUCCAGGGGAAAGUAGAUGAAUGAAAGUGCAUGCUCAAAAGUUCUCUAGAAUUCACCAGAUGCCCUCACAGGCUAAUUUGCCUAUUUGUUGAUUCGUCACGAAUUCGGUAAUUUGGAUAACAAGUAGGAAGAAGGAUGUUUUUCUGAAGACAUGUAGAACAGAAUAAAGCUGUAGGAAAAGAAGAAAAAAAAACGGUGUAUAUGAUGGGCUCCUGAGUGGUGUAACGUGCCAGUGCGACAGCUGUCCGAGUCAAGCCAUCAAAAUUGUUUUGCGAUGAACGUCUUAUCACAGCAACACUAGCCAAUCGUGAGGUUUCUUUCAAGAUGCCGAAAGCGAUUUUAAGAAAGCGUUGGAAAUAAACGCCAACUUCGAAGAUGCCAGACUAAGUUUGCAUCAGACAAUUCUCGACUGUGAAGAAAAGACAAGGAGAG
RNA transcript from Ictalurus furcatus (blue catfish), 881 nucleotides. It is a transcript of the gene named tetratricopeptide repeat domain 32, with no coding region annotated. Lineage: Eukaryota; Metazoa; Chordata; Actinopteri; Siluriformes; Ictaluridae. The record is from RefSeq and is a predicted model, not a curated record. The transcript has 4 exons.